This 265-nucleotide ribosomal RNA is filed under the name uncultured bacterium. Its description in RNAcentral is "partial 16S ribosomal RNA". It matches the Rfam family "Bacterial small subunit ribosomal RNA", at positions 793 to 1055 of the family's 1533-position model. The record is from RNAcentral.
GUCCAUGCCUUAAACGAUGCAUACUAGGAGUAGGAGGGCUCAACCCCCUCUGUUCCGGAGCUAACGCAUUAAGUAUGCCGCCUGGGGAGUACGCUCGCAAGGGUGAAAACUCAAAAAGAAUUGACGGGGGCCCGCACAAGCAGUGGAGCAUGUGGUUUAAUUCGAUGCAACGCGAAGAACCUUACCUGGGCUCGAAAUGUAGAGGACUGUACCAGAGAUGGUACAUCUCGAAAGAGUCUCUAUAUAGGUGCUGCAUGGCUGUCGU